Long non-coding RNA from Prunus dulcis (almond), 1728 nucleotides. RefSeq lists it as uncharacterized. The transcript is spliced from 4 exons. NCBI's taxonomy places the organism in Eukaryota, Viridiplantae, Streptophyta, Magnoliopsida, Rosales, Rosaceae. The record is from RefSeq and is a predicted model, not a curated record.
UUCUUUUUCUUUUUCUUUUUUCAGCCAAGCAGAGCUCUCUCUCUCUCAAAUCUUGAACCACCUCCUCCUCCCUCCCUCCUCUCUCUAUCUCACUCAGAUCCUCCGUUGUCUCGGAUCGUUUGUCGUGGCUUCACAAGUUUCAAUUUUUUCGAUAACCUUUAUGACGAUAUCCAUUGGUCUUCGGCAAUUGACACGCCGCUUCUCCAUCUUAUUCUUUAGUAUAUUCUCACAGCGCAGUCUUCCCUCGGCCUUCUCUCUCACCCUCUCAGUCCCGUUAAUUGCCUCUUGCACCAUCGAGUGACCCCACUGAAACCCAGACGAACAACCCUCAAAUUUGACCCAUAAAUCAAACUCAGACCGCUGCCUCCUCUGCUCAAAGGCGAAAGGUGCGAAAUCUCUAGUUGUUUGGAACUCAGGUAAAUUUGGUGUCGAAGCCACUUUUGAAUAUGUGUUUGUGAUUCUGUCGAAGCCACUCUUGGCCUCUCCUUCUUUUCAUUGUGAACUUGGACUCUUCAAAGGUGACAUGUUUGAAUCAUUUCUAGGGUUCCAUUUGACAUCGCAUUCGCACUAGCCCAAAUUUCUUUAUAAUUAGGGAGUCUUUGAAUCAUUUUGCAAUUCAAGUUAUGAACUUUGCCCUUAUCUACAUUUGCACUAACCUUCAGUUGUCAUCAUAAAUUUGCUACAUUUUCCUAAUGCUUGAAUUCCUUGUGUUUUUUUCCAAGGUAUUAACUGCACCAUUAUGAUUAAAUGUCAUCUUCUGCUUUCCUCGAAUUUACUAAUUCAUGACUCUUAGAUUCUCUUCAUUUUUGGUACUUCCUUGAGCUUGUGGAUGUAUCUUUUAAAAAUAUUCAUUGUAGUACACAUGGAUGUUGAGGUAACCUUUCCUUCUUUUUGCUUUCCAAGGGUAUGUUGAGGUAAUUCAUAAAUUCAUAUAACAGGGGCACAAGUGCUCUACAUGACAAUCUUUUGCGAUAUUCCAGAAUGCCUAAACUAUACAAACUACAGCUACAAGCCAUGUGUUAUAAUCCUUCACUGCCAAUCUUUGGUAACAAUAAUUGUUUUGUCAGGUGAGAAGAAUACAUUUUGGGGUCAUGUACAUAUGUAUUUUCAUAUAAGAAUGCGACAUAACAUCCUUCUAUUAAAUUUAGUUUCGUUUAAAAAACUGUAAAAUUAUAAACUCAAAUUCUGUUGGUACCAUUAGUUUUUACUACAAUUGACAUUAGGUACAAUUUGUCUUACUAUCUUGGAAAUAUUUGGUGUAGAGGAAUGGAAAAAGGCUUGAAGAUGAGCUGCCCAUUGAAGCAAAUGGAGACUACACCAAGUGAAGGAGGAGGAGCUUAAUUAAUGGUACAAUAGACACGCUGGCUGCACACUUAUUUGGUAAUAUGUUGAAGAUAUUUUUCUCUAACAACAAAUGACUUGGAGAGAUAGUCUAGAGUCCUGAAUCUUUGCAUCAUGAGGAGGAUAUGGUUCAGUGGACAGAAUGUUAAGGCCAUGGGCUGAAGCUUUAUAGGCUGUUCUGUUUGAAAACCACAGCUAGGAAGACGACUGCAUAAUCAAUCAAGUUGGGAGACUUGGUGCUAAAAGAUUGUCUGUUCUUGCAAAGUUCUUACCAGAGUGAGUUAUACUGUGAAAACUCACUUUCAAAUCUUGAGAGAACCACUCAAAUGCAUGAUAAUAUGCAAAUUAGACUGGUUUCCAAUUUAUAAGCAUGCUGUUUGUAUUUCA